This 508-nucleotide long non-coding RNA is filed under the name Ananas comosus (pineapple). Its description in RNAcentral is "long non-coding RNA (ACOM_LNC005352)". Lineage: Eukaryota; Viridiplantae; Streptophyta; Magnoliopsida; Poales; Bromeliaceae. The record is from RNAcentral.
UACCAGAUUUUGAUAUAAAAAUAAAAAUAAAUAAAAAUAGUGUGAGAAACUAUUUUUAUUGGAUUUGUAGGAGUAAAACAUAAGUCAGAAGUGACUUGUGCUGAAAUCGGAUUGAAAACAGAAGAUCUAGAAUUUUCUGUUGGAAAUGGGACAGAUAAAUUAGCAGAAAAUGCACAGUCUCAGAAAAUUAUGAAAAUUGGAGGAUAGGUCAGAAAUAUUUUUAUGAGGCUAGAUUUAAAGUUUUAUAUUUUUCUGACACCCGUAGAGUGAGAAAUAAAAUCCGACACCUAUCUGAUAAAGAUUACAGUUCGGUACAGUUUUCAGUGACCAAACGGGGUCGAAACUGAACCAGCGAUCGUCAGCUUGUUAAGUUAAGUAAAACCGAACAUGACUGUCAAGNGAUACUCCUAGAUGUCUUUUAUUAUUGCUUUUAUUAUGGUUGUUUUUAGACGCCUCAUAUGUUGUAGACAUAUGGCGGGUCUGGGCACGCGCCGGGCAGGCUUCCGCU